UACAGAGGGUGCAAGCGUUGUUCGGAAUUAUUGGGCGUAAAGGGCGCGUAGGCGGUCGUGACAAGUCACUUGUGAAAUCUCCGGGCUUAACUCGGAACGGUCAAGUGAUACUGUCGGACUAGAGUACAGAAGGGGCAACUGGAAUUCUCGGUGUAGCGGUGAAAUUCGUAGAUAUUCGCAAGAACACCAGUGGCGAAGGCGGCUCACUGGCCCGGUACUGACGCUGAGGUGCGAAAGCGUGGGGAGCAAACAGG
Molecule: ribosomal RNA, 254 nt
Filed under: uncultured bacterium
Lineage: Bacteria
Description: partial 16S ribosomal RNA
Rfam family: Bacterial small subunit ribosomal RNA
Source: RNAcentral